Molecule: long non-coding RNA, 411 nt
Organism: Gracilinanus agilis (Agile Gracile Mouse Opossum)
Lineage: Eukaryota; Metazoa; Chordata; Mammalia; Didelphimorphia; Didelphidae
Exons: 3
Source: RefSeq, a predicted model, not a curated record
GGCGCCCAGACUGAAGAAGGACGCGACGCAAGGGCGCAGCGCACUGUUGGCCGAUAUUCAGCAAGGAACGCGCUUAAGGAAAGUCACUCAGAUCAAUGACCGAAGCGCCCCCCAGAUCGAAACCUCAAAAGGAGCCAACAAAGAAGGCGGAGGAGCUGCUGGGAACUCCAGAGGGGGCAACCCCCAGGCCCUGGGAGGCCUCUUUGCAGGGGGCUUUCCUGUGUUGAGACCAGCUGGACAGAGGGAUGGCUCAGGUGGCGGGUCCAGAGCUCCUUCCCCUCGGCUUCCCACCAAGACCAUCAGCAGUCCAGUGAACCCCCCUGCGUCUCCGAGACUGGGAAAUGCAGCGGAAGCAUCAGCCAUUUCCAGACCUGUCCCUCCCCGCCCCAACAUGCCCGCCCCUCCGCCUCC